Molecule: ribosomal RNA, 262 nt
Filed under: uncultured bacterium
Lineage: Bacteria
Description: partial 16S ribosomal RNA
Rfam family: Bacterial small subunit ribosomal RNA
Source: RNAcentral
CCGCGGUAAUACUAGGGGUGCUAGCGUUGUCCGGAAUCACUGGGCGUAAAGGGUCCGUAGGCGUUUUGCUAAGUUGAUUGUUAAAUCCAUCGGCUCAACCGAUGAUCUGCAAUCAAAACUGGCAGAAUAGAGUUCGAGAGAGGAAAGUGGAAUUCCUGGUGUAGCGGUGACAUGCGUAGAUAUCAGGAGGAACACCAAUGGCGAAGGCAGCUUUCUGGCUCGAUACUGACGCUGAGGGACGAAAGCGUGGGGAGCGAACAGG